This 69-nucleotide transfer RNA is filed under the name Janus compressus. RNAcentral's name for it is "tRNA-Tyr". The record is from RNAcentral. Lineage: Eukaryota; Metazoa; Arthropoda; Insecta; Hymenoptera; Cephidae.
GAUAGUAUGGCUGAAUUUAGGCGAUAAAUUGUAAAUUUAUUUAUAAAAAUUUUAUUUUUUUUACUAUUA